AAUGCACCAAUCUGCAAGUCGCUCUGGAUAAGAGCGUCUGCUAAAUGACAUACA
Molecule: non-coding RNA, 54 nt
Organism: Salmo salar (Atlantic salmon)
Lineage: Eukaryota; Metazoa; Chordata; Actinopteri; Salmoniformes; Salmonidae
Source: Rfam